GUCUAUGGCCAUGCCACCCUGCACGUGCCUGAUCUCAUCAGAUCUUGGAAGCUAAGCAGGGUCAGGCUUGGUUAGUACUUGCAUGGGAGACCACCUAGGAAUACCACCUAGGAAAUGCUGUAGGCA
Ribosomal RNA from Pteropus vampyrus (large flying fox), 126 nucleotides. NCBI's taxonomy places the organism in Eukaryota, Metazoa, Chordata, Mammalia, Chiroptera, Pteropodidae. The record is from Ensembl.